GUAGGUGAACCUGCGGAAGGAUCAUUAAUGAAACUUCAAAGUCGGCCAAAGGUUGUUGCUGGUGAUUAUUCACAUGUGCACGCCUUUGGUCGCAAAUCCACACACACCUGUGCAUCUAUGACUCGAGGUUGUAAUGACUGAGAGUAACUUUUAUACACUCUUGUAUGUAAUGGAAUGUCUUUUUGUGCUAUAAUGUACAAUAUAAACAACUUUCAACAACGGAUCUCUUGGCUCUCGCAUCGAUGAAGAACGCAGCGAAAUGCGAUAAGUAAUGUGAAUUGCAGAAUUCAGUGAAUCAUCGAAUCUUUGAACGCACCUUGCACCCUUUGGUAUUCCGAAGGGUAYGCCCGUUUGAGUGUCAUUGUAAUCUCACUUCUACAACUUUAUUGUUGUUUGAAUGUGGACUUGGAUGUUGCCGUUUUAUCACGGCUCGUCUUAAAUGCCUGAGUGUACCCUGUUUUGCAGCGUAUCCAGUGUAAUAAACAUUUCACUAGAGUUGGUCGAAAGACCGCGUUGACUAUAUGGGCUCUAUGCUUCAAACCGUCUGCCAUGUGGACAAUUUCUUGACAAUUUGACCUCAAAUCGGGUGGGACUACCCGCUGAACUUAAGCAUAUCAAUAAGCGGAGGAAAAGAAACUAACAAGGAUUCCCCUAGUAACGGCGAGUGAAGAGGGAAAAGCUCAAAUUUUAAAUCUGGUGUCUUUGACUCCCGAGUUGUAAUCUAGAGAAGUGUUUUCCGUGUCGGACCGUGUACAAGUUCCCUGGAACGGGGCGUCAUAGAGGGUGAGAAUCCCGUAUAUGCCACGGACUACCGAUGCUCUGUGAUACACUCUCAACGAGUCGAGUUGUUUGGGAAUGCAGCUCAAAAUGGGUGGUAAAUUCCAUCUAAAGCUAAAUAUUGGCGAGAGACCGAUAGCGAACAAGUACCGUGAGGGAAAGAUGAAAAGCACUUUGGAAAGAGAGUGAAACAGUACGUGAAAUUGUUGAAAGGGAAGCGUUUGAAGUCAGUCGCAUCUGUUGGGGUUCAGCCUGGCUUUUGCCUGGUGUAUUUCCUUUCCGAUGGGUCAGCAUCAGUUUCGACCGAGGGAAAAAGACAUUUGGAAUGUGGCUGUCUUCGGGCAGUGUUAUAGCCUUGUGUUGUAUGUCUCGGUUGGGACUGAGGAUUGCAGCGCGCC
Molecule: ribosomal RNA, 1175 nt
Filed under: uncultured Sebacina
Lineage: Eukaryota; Fungi; Basidiomycota; Agaricomycetes; Sebacinales; Sebacinaceae
Description: eukaryotic LSU rRNA
Rfam family: Eukaryotic large subunit ribosomal RNA (bases 573-1175)
Source: RNAcentral